Molecule: ribosomal RNA, 261 nt
Filed under: uncultured bacterium
Lineage: Bacteria
Description: partial 16S ribosomal RNA
Rfam family: Bacterial small subunit ribosomal RNA
Source: RNAcentral
UACGUAGGGCGCAAGCGUUAUCCGGAAUUAUUGGGCGUAAAGAGCUUGUAGGCGGUUCGUCGCGUCUGGUGUGAAAGCCCAUCGCUUAACGGUGGGUUUGCGCCGGGUACGGGCGGGCUAGAGUGCAGUAGGGGAGACUGGAAUUCUCGGUGUAACGGUGGAAUGUGUAGAUAUCGGGAAGAACACCAAUGGCGAAGGCAGGUCUCUGGGCUGUUACUGACGCUGAGAAGCGAAAGCGUGGGGAGCGAACAGGAUUAGAAA